RNAcentral lists this ribosomal RNA (596 nucleotides) under Trachylepis sp. Mab5. Its description in RNAcentral is "partial 16S ribosomal RNA". It matches the Rfam family "Bacterial large subunit ribosomal RNA", at positions 768 to 1868 of the family's 2925-position model. The record is from RNAcentral. Lineage: Eukaryota; Metazoa; Chordata; Lepidosauria; Squamata; Scincidae.
ACAUGGGUGUACCCGUCUCUGUGGCAAAAGAGUGGGAAGACCUUGUAAUAGUGGUGAAAAGCCAAACGAGCCUGGUGAUAGCUGGUUGCUCAACAAACGAAUUUUAGUUCGACUUUAGGUUAUUUUAACAACUUUUAAGUCUAAAGACAACCUAAAAGCUAUUCAAUGAAGGUACAGCUUCAUUGAUACUGGAUUCAACCUUCACUAGAGAGAAAGAACCCAUGUUUAACCAGUAGACCUUAAAGCAGCCAUCAAUAACAAAAGCGUCACAGCACAAAACAAUAAAUACCACGCACACCAACAAACUCCUAGAAAAACAUUGAGCCAAACUAUAAUUAUAGAUAAACUACUGCUAAAACUAGUAACAAGAAACCUUCUCUCCGCACCCCCGUAACCCAGAAAUAGAAAAUCUGCUGGAACUUAACAGACCACAACAGGAACAGUGUAAACUCACUACCCUUACUGUUAAACCGACACUGGAGUGCCACCAAGACAGAUUAAAAGUUAUUUAAGGAACUCGGCAAGACUUGCCCCAACUGUUUACCAAAAACAUAGCCUUUAGCAACACAAGUAUUAAAGGUCCCGCCUGCCCAGUG